This 430-nucleotide ribosomal RNA is filed under the name uncultured Solirubrobacter sp. RNAcentral describes it as "bacterial SSU rRNA". It matches the Rfam family "Bacterial small subunit ribosomal RNA", at positions 354 to 776 of the family's 1533-position model. Lineage: Bacteria; Bacillati; Actinomycetota; Thermoleophilia; Solirubrobacterales; Solirubrobacteraceae. The record is from RNAcentral.
GUGGGGAAUCUUGCACAAUGCGCGAAAGCGUGAUGCAGCAACGCCGCGUGGGGGAAGAAGGCCUUCGGGUUGUAAACCCCUUUCAGUUGGGACGAAGCUUCGACGGUUAAUAGCCGGCUGGAGUGACGGUACCUUCAGAAGAAGCCCCGGCUAACUACGUGCCAGCAGCCGCGGUAAUACGUAGGGGGCAAGCGUUGUCCGGAAUCAUUGGGCGUAAAGCGCGUGUAGGCGGUUCGAUAAGUCUGCUGUGAAAGUCCAGGGCUCAACCCUGGGAUGCCGGUGGAUACUGUCGGGCUAGAGUGCGGAAGAGGCGAGUGGAAUUCCCGGUGUAGCGGUGAAAUGCGCAGAUAUCGGGAGGAACACCAAUUGCGAAGGCAGCUCGCUGGGACGUUACUGACGCUGAGACGCGAAAGCGUGGGGAGCAAACAGG